RNAcentral lists this small RNA (647 nucleotides) under Pongo abelii (Sumatran orangutan). Its description in RNAcentral is "processed transcript". The record is from RNAcentral. Lineage: Eukaryota; Metazoa; Chordata; Mammalia; Primates; Hominidae.
GUGUUGUUUGCGGCUGGGCUCGUGUAUUGUUCUUUACCCGGCGCGCCGGUCCUGACCGACCCCAUUCUGCAGAGGGGCCGCCCGUGGAGUGGCAGCAGUCAUCACCCGCUUAUCUGAGACUAGUGGCCUCGGUUCUUCCUGUGUCCUGUGUUUGGAGAGAGAUCACAGGAGGGUCAGUAUGGGAAUCCUUUAAAUAAAUAUAUCAGACAUUAUGAAGGAUUAUCUUACAAUAUGGAUUCAUUACACCAAAAACACCAGCGUGCCAAAAGAGCAGUCUCACAUGAGGACCAAUUUUUACGUCUAGAUUUCCAUGCCCAUGGAAGACAUUUCAACCUACGAAUGAAGAGGGACACUUCCCUUUUCAGUGAUGAAUUUAAAGUAGAAACAUCAAAUAAAGUACUUGAUUAUGAUACCUCUCAUAUUUACACUGGACAUAUUUAUGGUGAAGAAGGAAGUUUUAGCCAUGGGUCUGUUAUUGAUGGAAGAUUUGAAGGAUUCAUCCAGACUCGUGGUGGCACAUUUUAUGUUGAGCCAGCAGAGAGAUAUAUUAAAGACCGAACUCUGCCAUUUCACUCUGUCAUUUAUCAUGAAGAUGAUAUUAACUAUCCCCAUAAAUAUGGUCCUCAGGGGGGCUGUGCAGAUCAUUC